Long non-coding RNA from Xenia sp. Carnegie-2017, 139 nucleotides. RefSeq lists it as uncharacterized. The transcript is spliced from 3 exons. Lineage: Eukaryota; Metazoa; Cnidaria; Anthozoa; Malacalcyonacea; Xeniidae. The record is from RefSeq and is a predicted model, not a curated record.
AUCUAUGAAGCACUAUAUUAUCCUAAUUUAUCCCAGUGUUAAGGAAGGUCUUUGUCGUGGUGGUAAGGGUUUACUGGAGGGUGUUUUUGAAGGUGUUACAGGUGUUGUUACAAAACCAAUGGAAGGUGCAAAGCAGUCU